GCCUUUUAAAAAAAAAUUUAGGUGCAUGCUUCAGUAGCACAUAUACUAAAAUGAUUGGCAUGGCCCUGUACAAGGAUGACACUCACAUUCAUGAAAUGGUCCAUAUUUUA
This is a small nuclear RNA of Neomonachus schauinslandi (Hawaiian monk seal), 110 nucleotides long. Lineage: Eukaryota; Metazoa; Chordata; Mammalia; Carnivora; Phocidae. The record is from RefSeq and is a predicted model, not a curated record.